UCUAAUAUGGCAGAAAUAAUGCACUGGAUUUAAACCCCAUUUAUAAAGAUACUCUUUUUUUAGAA
Molecule: transfer RNA, 65 nt
Filed under: Lepidostoma longipilosum
Lineage: Eukaryota; Metazoa; Arthropoda; Insecta; Trichoptera; Lepidostomatidae
Description: tRNA-Leu
Source: RNAcentral